UACGUAGGGGGCUAGCGCUGUCCGGAAUCAUUGGGCGUAAAGCGCGUGUAGGCGGCCCGGUAAGUCCGCUGUGAAAGUCGGGGGCUCAACCCUCGAAUGCCGGUGGAUACUGUCGGGCUAGAGUGCGGAAGAGGCGAGUGGAAUUCCUGGUGUAGCGGUGAAAUGCGUAGAGAUGGGGGAGAACACUCGUGGCGAAGGCGGCCAGCUGGACCAGUACUGACGCUGAGACGCGAAAGCGUGGGGAGCAAACAGG
RNAcentral lists this ribosomal RNA (253 nucleotides) under uncultured bacterium. RNAcentral describes it as "partial 16S ribosomal RNA". It matches the Rfam family "Bacterial small subunit ribosomal RNA", at positions 524 to 776 of the family's 1533-position model. The record is from RNAcentral.